GGAAACACCUGCCUGCCACCAAUGCACGACGCCGCAAGCCCGCCCUUUGCCUGCGGAGUGCAGGUGCGCCCCGGCAAGCGGCAGUGGGGUCUCGCAGCCCGCCGGGCGGGUACGAGUUGUAGCUUAUUAGAGACACUGAAUCAUGUUGGGAAUGACUGUGAUCAACAUCCUGCUCCCUGCUGUGAUGCAAAUGCAUGGAAAUAUCUGAAAACUGGAACUUCUUCAGGAACUCCUGGAUAAAGUAGGAAGUAGCUGUAAGAAUAAUGCACUGAAUAAAGCAGUGGGUAAGGAUUUCUUCCUAGUCUGUCAGCACUUAACAGCCAGGAGAUGAAGAAAGGCAAAAGUGAGUUUUCAUUUUUGAGUGCCUGCAUUUCAUGCCCCUGGAAUUCACCAGCAGAUGGCAGCCAAACCUUGAGAGUGUUACUUGCCAGCUACACCUUACCCAAUGGAG
Mauremys reevesii (Reeves's turtle) is the source of this 451-nucleotide long non-coding RNA. RefSeq lists it as uncharacterized. The record is from RefSeq and is a predicted model, not a curated record. The transcript has 3 exons. Lineage: Eukaryota; Metazoa; Chordata; Testudines; Geoemydidae.